RNAcentral lists this unclassified non-coding RNA (237 nucleotides) under uncultured fungus. RNAcentral describes it as "sequence contains ITS1". The record is from RNAcentral. Lineage: Eukaryota; Fungi.
GUAUAGAUUUUAUUUAAAAUUGAAGGACUCGCGUCCUCAAUCUUAUUUGAAACAUUCAUUAAACUUUUACAGGGUGUAAUGAAAAAUACAUAGACCAAAUUUCUCGGCCUACGAUAAGUGCACAGAGGGGUAGAUGAAUGAAGAAAAGAAGAGCGUGCACGAUGCCUCGAGAGACCAGCGACAACUCCCUUUUGAUUUAAUUCAUUAAUGAUCCUUCCGCAGGUUCACCUACGGAAA